AUCUUUGUUUAGAAAUGUCAAGCGAUUUUGAGUAUUAUUUUGGCUUUGUAGUUGACGAAAUUUACAAGCUUGGACAUACAGUAAAAUCUCGAUGUUUUGACACUUCGAAAAUAUUGUACUGCCUCUGGAGUCAACUCUCAUAGACUUAAGUCCCCACAAAUUACGGUUGAACCCGUCUGAGAGUACUCGAUAUUUGUUCUGAAAUGCCAAGCGAUUCUAUGUAACAUUUUGGUUUUGUAGUGGACAAAUUCUCUUAGCUUCAGCAUACGUACUAUAUGAAUCUCAACUCACAGAUACGGUUUUUAAAAAAACGAGAUACCUGACAGUCUAACAUUUUAAACCAUGAAGUUCUUGACUAUUGGGAACGUUCUAUUUUUUUCAAUUUACACCUAUUACAAACCCUCUUUUUUAACUGGCUGUCGAAUAUCGCCUGAAUAAGCUCCUUUAAAUGAUGGCUUUAUUGCCAACAGUUCAUAGAACUGUAAACUCUGCCAUCACUCGGUAGGUCUUCAGUCACAUAGCCUGGUGACUUCGUCAUGUUAUGUGCUUCCAUGCCCUGGAAAUGUGAACAAAUAUUCAAUCUAGCUAGAGGGCUGGUUAGUUCGGAAAUCCCUUGACAUUUCUACAUGGAUGUCAAGCAUUCUCAUCAGGUUGGAGUUAUAAUUUUGCUGGAAAAUCAGAAAGAAUUUCUGACUGCUGGGUAUAUAUAUAGUUUUCUUCAGUGAAGAACCGUGCCCAUCAGUCUCACAAAUCUUUGCCAAUUUGUGAAUUGCAAACCCGAAACAUUGUAUAAGAUAGUUUGUUGUUUCUGACCAAAGUUCAAAAUACUCAAAUACUUUUGGGAGGUUUCUAAUCAUAACAAUUUAUUUUUGUGGAAAUUAAUCAUCUAUGAAUUUUUGACUGCCGGGUAUCUAGAUUUUUGAACAACCAUGACCGUGAGUCGAAAUUUUUAUAGUAUGCUAAAGCUAAGAGAAUUCGUCCACUAUAAAACCAAAACAUUGUUUAGAAUCGUUUGGUAUUUCUGAACAAAAUUAAUAUAGAAUACUUUCAGAACAUUAAGGUGCAAUCAUAACUAUUUGGGCAAAUUAUGCGCCGCAAGAAUUGAAGUACAGCAAACUACAAAGAAAAGGGUUUACAACGUACCUGAAAUUGCUGUAACCUCUGAAUCAUAAAGCGACUCCUCAAUUUUUCGGUCUGAUCUUCUUUCCCUUCAUUUUACAGGGCAAGUAAUCCCUUCCUUUAGUACGCCGUUAAACUUGUCAAGGACAAUUCAUGUCGUCAGUCUCCACAACACUGAACUGUUUUUCUUCGAUCAACUGAAAACUUCUGCUUCAAUGCAACAGCUUCGAUAUCCAACUCAGCUCUCGAUCAGUUAGAAAUUAGCAGGCCAAGGGUCAGUUACAGUGUAUGCACGUGAUACACUAUAAUUAUUUUGAUUGGCUUAAGCUAACUUGAUUGACAUUUCAGGAUUAAGGAUCAGGUGGGUACAGUAGCAGGUCACGACAGAUUAUUUUGGUCAAAGAUAACUACCAUAUCAAGGCACUCAAGGCACUCUUGUAUUGUUUGCAUCUACAUGCCUCCGUUAACUGGUACUCCGUUAACUGGUAUACUGUACAAAACCCUGAACGUAAAAACUGAAAAUAAUUGUUGCCACCUGACAACCUUGCUGGAUUCGUGUAUUGCAGUUGAUUGAGAUGAACCAGUUUUUACAAAGUCUUUGACAAGGCACUUGCUUUGUCACAAAAGGCAUGCUCUGCACAAAUCAGUUGGCACGUCAUGAAAAUGCAUCCGCUUUUGAUAUUAAAUUUCAUAAGAAAACACAAUUUAUUCAUCUCUGCCAAAAUAACAAGACCUUCGACCAUGACAUUGUCAGUGUUAAUCAAUUUCCUGCACAAGUAGAAUGGCUUUACUGUAUUGCUAAAGAGAUCAACAGACAAUUGUGACAGGUCCAACAGCAAUGUACCACAGAAAUAGAGCAAGUGCUGCAAGCCAAGUAAUUAAGGGUGUUUUUAUAAUUACUGACGGUAAUGUAGGUUUUGUACAUGGGAUUUGAUACCUUUUAUAUCGUGUGCAGUGUCGUCAAUGUCUACGAAGUUCGUUUCGAAAAAUUGAAGGGUUAAGGGUUCUACUAUGUAAUUAUGGCCCAUUACUUAUGAAAUGUCUUGUCAGUCUUUCUAAUAGCGGGGUAAAACUGCACGUCAGUUAAUUUGAAGUUAUCCCAGUUUUGUAUUUAUCGCACGUGGUUGAUGGAAUAACAUCGUACACGGUAGGCUAGUUUCAUCGAUCAUCCAAAUGAGAUAUGAGUGAGCCGUUGAUUUCCCAUGUAUGCCGCGAUGCAGGCCAUAAGCACGCGAUACAGUGGGGAGGAUCUCAGCAAGCUGCAGAACACUUGAAAUGGAUGAAGCAGUUUUUUCCUGGGCCUCUUUAUUACACUAAUGAAACGGCCAAAGAAAAAAAAAAAACCUAGUGAUAAUGUAGUGUAUGUGUAUCUUCCAAGUCCGCAAUUAUUAUAAGAUCUUUAUAUAAAGCAAUCAUUUUUUCUGUAACAAGAUCUCCGGCUUCUGUGUUAAUUACAUCGAGUGGCCUGAUUGCAUUACACGCUCUUAGCAGGUUUCAGAGCUGCAACCAUGAAAAACUUUUGCAGCUUGUGUUUCUUAGGUUUCAGUCGCUAUGUUAAAGUAACUACAAAAAAUAAUGAUGAACUCUGGAAAUGAUGAAAUCUCUGGCUGUUUAAGUCACAUGCAUGUCAAUAUUCUUGAGUCUUUAGUUUCUAUUAUUUUGCAUCAUACACGUACCGAGCGGUAUAGUAACAUCAUGUGCAUGUCUCAUCGAACCACUCCGGCACUUCCAUAAAAUUUGGCAGAUUGGUAGUAACAGAAGAAACAGCGACAACGAACCAAGCUGUUAUCGUUAUUUUAUUUUUCUGCUUCAGUGUUAUUACCGCCGUCAUCGGUCAUGAUCAGUUUUACCCAUAUCUUUUUGAUUUUGCUUCAACAACACAUUCUAAGUUCACUGAGAUAAGCUGAAUUGUUUUUAAGUGUCAAAAUAUGUCGAUUUACUAGCUACAAUCUAGCAAGAUUCCUAGUGUGUAUAUUCUGGUGAUUUAGGGCUACUUAUAAACUGUGCUUUGCAGCUGCUAGCAGCUAUUUCACAGCUAUUGGUGGGCUGCCAGACAGCUGCAAAAUGCUGUGAAGCACUUUGAAGGGCUGCACAGCGUUCUUGCAGCCAGCUGCAACUUUACUUUGGCUGCAGAAAAGCUUGUGAAACACUGCAAAUCGGCUGCAUAUCAGCUGUACAACUAUUUUGAAGCGCUUUUGUGGCGCUGCACAGCGCUGCUUAUUUCGUAUGGGUGUUAUCCUCAACUGAAAGGAUUUGAUGUUAUGCAUGUAGAAGUAGAGCAUGAUUACUUUCUGUUGUUUGGCAGAACAAGUAACACUGAUCAGGCAAACUGAAGCACCUGACAGCAACGUCACUGAAGCUCAAGCUAAAGAAUUCUUGGAAGAUGGAGCAACUGAGGAGGAAAAAGCUCCCAUUAAUGACACAAUGGAGGAUGCUGAUGAUUUGCUGGAGAUGAUGGAGUGACAGUGACAACAGCGCACAGAAGGCAAUAGCAUGUGCCCGAGUAUACAGGACUUCAAAAUUGGAUGUGUGUCAAUGCACAAAGAAAAAUGAGCAUGUCUUAGCAAACAUCAUUUCUUUGUAAACGAGUAAGGAAUAUAAUAUAGUUCAAUUGCCGAGGUAACUUUCAGUGACUGCAACUGCAUUAGUUCGCAAUUAUCUUUUGGAGGGUUUGGAUGAAUGCAAGAACACAAAGUGUGCUUGAAGGACUUGAUUAAAUAAUAUUGAUGAUCAGUGACAUUUAGUUAUAGUUUAACUUAAUUACCACUUACACCGGCAGAUAAUCUGUACUCACAGAUGAGCCAAACCCAGAGUUAGGCAACUGAUAGGAGAAAUGCAACUAUAUUAUUAAUUUACAAGUUCAAAAUUAUGUUAUUUGUAAUAAUUACUAUCUUGUUGAAAUGUGUAAAGUUACAUGACUUGUAUGUAUUUUGGUUCAAUAAUUAUACAGCCUUUAUGAAAGCAGUCAAGAUUA
Molecule: long non-coding RNA, 4093 nt
Filed under: Orbicella faveolata
Lineage: Eukaryota; Metazoa; Cnidaria; Anthozoa; Scleractinia; Merulinidae
Description: uncharacterized LOC110045503
Source: RNAcentral